GCCAGCUUCACCUGAAGGACCUGGUGGACCCUGCAAUGGAAAAUUACAAGCUCAGUGGUAAUAGAGAAUAAAUUAUAUACAUGCAACCAACAUCUGCAGUAUGUUAGCCCCUUUCAAUGGACAGGAAGAGAACCACUAGGACCAGCAGGACCAGGAAGUCCUACAGGACCCUGUACUCCAUCACGGCCAGCUGGACCUUGAGGACCUUUUUCACCCUAGUUUUGAAGAAAAGAAAGUCAUCCACAGUACCACAGGAGACUAAUGAAGAUUUCAGUACAGGGAAUCACAUUACCAAUACUUUUUUUUAAAAAAAAAAGCAACAGAAAGGAAAUUAGAAAAGGAAGAGAAUGUAUCAGAAAAUUAUAGAGCACCCUUCUCCCCUGCGGGGCCUGGAGGACCCUGAGGUCCAGGACGACCUGGUAGACCAAUUGGGCCAGCAGUGCCUGCUGCUCCACGUUCCCCUGG
Long non-coding RNA from Calidris pugnax (ruff), 465 nucleotides. RefSeq lists it as uncharacterized. NCBI's taxonomy places the organism in Eukaryota, Metazoa, Chordata, Aves, Charadriiformes, Scolopacidae. The transcript is spliced from 3 exons. The record is from RefSeq and is a predicted model, not a curated record.